This is a long non-coding RNA of Papaver somniferum (opium poppy), 1609 nucleotides long. RefSeq lists it as uncharacterized. Lineage: Eukaryota; Viridiplantae; Streptophyta; Magnoliopsida; Ranunculales; Papaveraceae. The transcript has 5 exons. The record is from RefSeq and is a predicted model, not a curated record.
UUUUACCAUCUCGUCCGUUUCUUCUAUCUCUUUUUUUUUUUUUUUUUAUCAUAUCGUCCAUCUCGUCUCUGUCGUUCCAUUAAUGGGUUUUUACAGAAGUUGAUUGAACACAGAAGAGAAGAAAAAUGUGAUGUUUUUACAUAUAAGAUUAAGGUUUCAAUGAGAAUCGAUAAUGAGAUAAAGAUUAUGGGUCUGCGGUUUAGAGAAAUUGAAUGAAAUCAGGGAUAGUUGAUGGUCAUGGUGUCGAUCCGUGUGUUGAUUCAAACUCGACAGAAAGGCGUGGGUUUUGGUUUCUUUGAAGGAUUUUGAUGCUUGGGUAUCCAUCAGCAGCUGAAAGCAAUCACCAGUUUGGGGCAAUUUUCUGCUUACCUUUUUUUUCCUCGUUUGAGCAAAUCUUAGUCAUCGUUUUGUUCUGUAUAACCCGUUUGAUAUAAUGUCUCACUAGCAAAUGUUAUGAAUUCCUUGCGCUUAAAUCCUCUUUAAGAUAAUUUUCUACUUUCUCACAGUAGUUAACUAGUUAUAGUGGUGAAGAAGAUAUGCUCUCGUUUGAACUACGAAUUCUGCGUGUAACUAGAGAUUUCUGAUCUCCAAUCCAGACAUCCAGUUCACAAGUGAAAUUAUCAAAAGUUCAAUGUUAAUUUUCCUUAGCUACACUUCAUAUUUCUUGGCCCUGUCUUUGUUUUAACAUUUAUGAAAUUCUUUUUUUAUUAAUAGUAAAAUGGGAAUGAUAUUAAGUUUUCCCAAUUUUUUGCAUUUCUGAUUGUAGUUGAGUAUUUGAGGACUUGGAGUUCUGCUGUACCCAUUUUAUCUGAGAUGGUUGCAUUCGAAAUUAGUCCGUGGUUUGAAUAACCGUUGCAUGAAUUGAUUAUCCUUCCGUCCUAAAAGACCUGAAUUAUUUGCUGGGAAGCUCCUCAGUCUACAGAAAGGUGUAUUGUUAAGGGUUAAAAUGAAAGUGGUUCGGAGAUGCGCAAAAGCUUGUUGCUGCCAUGUUCACUUUAGUUCAUAAGCUUCAACCGACUAUUAUCUUUAUUGAUGAGGUUGAUGGCUUUUAGAGGCAUCGCCGUGCUACUGACCACGAAGCUUUGACAAACAUGAAAACAAAGUUCAUGGCUCUCUGGGAUGGUUUUACCACAGACCAUGACAGUAUGCAGGAUUGUCAUCUAGAGGCAGUUCACAUUUAGGCUUCCAAGGCUCUCCUCAGCCAGCGGUAGCUUUGUUCACGAACUCUGCUUCACUUCCAAGUCUCCUGCCAAACAUACUUAUAUUUCUCUCCUUCCAUAAAAGAUAAAAUUCUGCAAAUAACAUGUCCUGGUAUAACAAGUAUCUGGACCAGGUCCUGAUGAGGAAGGGAGAAGCAGAGUCGCAGAAUGAUAAAUGAAUGUCAUCAUGGAACUUGGACAAACUUUCCACAGGCAUUUUUGGAUGUUGAUAAUCUUAGUUACCAGGUUUUUUUUAACUAUCUGGGUGUUGUUCUGUUGCCCAGAUUUAUGUUUUUUAAACAGUUAAACAUCUUACUGUCGGAUAUGUAAGUUUCUAUGGUGUAACAAUGUAAAAACUUGUUAUGAAAAGUAUAAGUUUCUGGUUCAGUGUGAAUGAUGCGAGUUUUGAA